RNAcentral lists this ribosomal RNA (253 nucleotides) under uncultured bacterium. Its description in RNAcentral is "partial 16S ribosomal RNA". It matches the Rfam family "Bacterial small subunit ribosomal RNA", at positions 524 to 776 of the family's 1533-position model. The record is from RNAcentral.
UACGAAGGGGGCUAGCGUUGUUCGGAAUCACUGGGCGUAAAGCGCACGUAGGCGGACUUUUAAGUCAGGGGUGAAAGCCUGAGGCUCAACCUCAGAACUGCCCUUGAUACUGGGAGUCUUGAGUAUGGUAGAGGUUGGUGGAACAGCAAGUGUAGAGGUGAAAUUCGUAGAUAUUUGCUAGAACACCAGUGGCGAAGGCGGCCAACUGGACCAUAACUGACGCUGAGGUGCGAAAGCGUGGGGAGCAAACAGG